UACGUAGGUGGCGAGCGUUGUCCGGAAUUACUGGGCGUAAAGGGCGUGUAGGCGGCCUUUUAAGUCAGACGUGAAACCUUCGGGCUUAACCCGAAACCUGCGUUUGAUACUGAAGGGCUUGAGGACCGGAGAGGACAGUGGAAUUCCCAGUGUAGCGGUGAAAUGCGUAGAUAUUGGGAGGAACACCAGUGGCGAAGGCGACUGUCUGGACGGCACCUGACGCUGAGGCGCGAAAGCCAGGGGAGCAAACGGG
This 253-nucleotide ribosomal RNA is filed under the name uncultured bacterium. Its description in RNAcentral is "partial 16S ribosomal RNA". It matches the Rfam family "Bacterial small subunit ribosomal RNA", at positions 524 to 776 of the family's 1533-position model. The record is from RNAcentral.